UGCCAGCAGCCGCGGUAAUACGGAGGGUGCAAGCGUUGUUCGGAAUCAUUGGGCGUAAAGCGGGUGUAGGCGGCUUGGCAAGUCGGAUGUGAAAGCCCAGGGCUCAACCCUGGAAUUGCAUUCGAAACUGCCUCGCUAGAGUCCCGGAGAGGGUGGCGGAAUUCCCGGUGUAGAGGUGAAAUUCGUAGAUAUCGGGAGGAACACCAGUGGCGAAGGCGGCCACCUGGGACGGAACUGACGCUGAUGAACGAAAGCUAGGGUAUCAAACAGGAUUAGAUA
This 279-nucleotide ribosomal RNA is filed under the name uncultured bacterium. RNAcentral describes it as "partial 16S ribosomal RNA". It matches the Rfam family "Bacterial small subunit ribosomal RNA", at positions 506 to 784 of the family's 1533-position model. The record is from RNAcentral.